AAUGAACGUUGGCGGCGUGGAUUAGGCAUGCAAGUCGAGCGAGAACCCCGCAAGGGGGGACAGCGGCAAACGGGGUAGUAAUGUGUCGGAACGUGCCCAGAGGACGGGGAUAGCGGCGGGAAACUGCCGGUAAUACCCGAUGAUCUCGAGAGAGCAAAGGUGUGAUUCCGCCUUUGGAGCGGCCGACUAUUGGUAUUAGCUAGUUGGCGGGGUAACGGCCCACCAAGGCUUUGAUGCCUAGGGGGUGUGAGAGCAUGAUCCCCACCAUUGGGACUGAGACACUGCCCAGACACCUACGGGUGGCUGCAGUCGAGAAUCUUCGUCAAUGGGCGAAAGCCUGAACGAGCGACGCCGCGUGCGGGAUGAAGGCCUUUGGGUUGUAAACUCGCUGUCGAGGGGGAUGAAGGUUUUCAGGUACUCCUGAAAAUUGACAGAG
RNAcentral lists this ribosomal RNA (436 nucleotides) under uncultured bacterium. RNAcentral's name for it is "bacterial SSU rRNA". It matches the Rfam family "Bacterial small subunit ribosomal RNA", at positions 29 to 477 of the family's 1533-position model. The record is from RNAcentral.